AGAGUUUGAUCAUGGCUCAGGACGAACGCUGGCGGCGUGCCUAACACAUGCAAGUCGAGCGGAGCAGUAGCAAUACUGCUUAGCGGCGGACGGGUGAGUAACGCGUGGGCAACCUGCCUUUCACAGGGGGAUAACACAGGGAAACUUGUGCUAAUACCGCAUGAAAUCAUGGAAGGACAUCCUUUUAUGAUCAAAGGAGU
This 200-nucleotide ribosomal RNA is filed under the name uncultured bacterium. RNAcentral describes it as "partial 16S ribosomal RNA". It matches the Rfam family "Bacterial small subunit ribosomal RNA", at positions 8 to 210 of the family's 1533-position model. The record is from RNAcentral.